AUGUCGGCCUUCACCGGCGUGUCCAUCGCCGACGGCUACAAGCGGUGCGGCUGCGAGACGCUGGCCGUGGACGCCCGCGGGGACAGCGGCUACCACCUGCUCAUGGUCAACGGCUACUCGCGCACCAAAGAGCUGAUUCCCACCGGCCAGAGCAUCACCGCCAACUCUUUCAAUGUGGGAGGCCAUGACUGGUUGAUCGAGUACUACCCUAACGGCGAGAACCUUCUCUACGACACCGAUGACGACGACGAAGAGCCCGUGGAGGUCAGGUUCAGUUUCAGCUUGGUGGACCAGGUGGAGAAGCAGAUGCCCAUGUACAUUCGUGCAACCCGCAGCUUCUCCAGCACCACUUCAAUCUGGGGCAACGACAGGUUUAUCAGAAAGAGCGAUUCAUUCCUGAUAAAAUCCUUAUGUUCUAUACCAUAA
RNAcentral lists this ribosomal RNA (426 nucleotides) under Triticum aestivum (bread wheat). RNAcentral's name for it is "partial small subunit ribosomal RNA". Lineage: Eukaryota; Viridiplantae; Streptophyta; Magnoliopsida; Poales; Poaceae. The record is from RNAcentral.